UACGAAGGGGGCUAGCGUUGCUCGGAAUCGCUGGGCGUAAAGGGUGCGUAGGCGGGUCUUUAAGUCAGGGGUGAAAUCCUGGAGCUCAACUCCAGAACUGCCUUUGAUACUGGCGAUCUCGAGUCCGGGAGAGGUGAGUGGAACUGCGAGUGUAGAGGUGAAAUUCGUAGAUAUUCGCAAGAACACCAGUGGCGAAGGCGGCUCACUGGCCCGGUACUGACGCUGAGGUGCGAAAGCGUGGGGAGCAAACAGG
This 253-nucleotide ribosomal RNA is filed under the name uncultured bacterium. RNAcentral's name for it is "partial 16S ribosomal RNA". It matches the Rfam family "Bacterial small subunit ribosomal RNA", at positions 524 to 776 of the family's 1533-position model. The record is from RNAcentral.